AUUGAACGCUGGCGGCAGGCCUAACACAUGCAAGUCGAGCGGAUGAAGGGAGCUUGCUCCUGGAUUCAGCGGCGGACGGGUGAGUAAUGCCUAGGAAUCUGCCUGGUAGUGGGGGAUAACGUCCGGAAACGGGCGCUAAUACCGCAUACGUCCUGAGGGAGAAAGUGGGGGAUCUUCGGACCUCACGCUAUCAGAUGAGCCUAGGUCGGAUUAGCUAGUUGGUGGGGUAAAGGCCUACCAAGGCGACGAUCCGUAACUGGUCUGAGAGGAUGAUCAGUCACACUGGAACUGAGACACGGUCCAGACUCAUACGGGAGGCAGCAGUGGGGAAUAUUGGACAAUGGGCGAAAGCCUGAUCCAGCCAUGCCGCGUGUGUGAAGAAGGUCUUCGGAUUGUAAAGCACUUUAAGUUGGGAGGAAGGGCAGUAAGUUAAUACCUUGCUGUUUUGACGUGACCAACAGAAUAAGCACCGGCUAACUGCGU
Molecule: ribosomal RNA, 483 nt
Filed under: uncultured bacterium
Lineage: Bacteria
Description: partial 16S ribosomal RNA
Rfam family: Bacterial small subunit ribosomal RNA
Source: RNAcentral